This is a long non-coding RNA of Engraulis encrasicolus (European anchovy), 1255 nucleotides long. RefSeq lists it as uncharacterized. The transcript has 3 exons. NCBI's taxonomy places the organism in Eukaryota, Metazoa, Chordata, Actinopteri, Clupeiformes, Engraulidae. The record is from RefSeq and is a predicted model, not a curated record.
UCUUCCAAAUGAACCAUUUUUUUCAAAACUCUUGCAUGUGAUUGGAUUAAGAAUCUGUCCGUCAUUUUGACUGACACGCCAUUUCAGCCACUCCCGUUGACUCAAUCCGUGACGUAGUUCACAGCGACACCACGCAGGAGGCAAGACUUUUCAUCACAACAAACAUGGCGGCGGCUGGAAGUAAACGGAGUAAACUUUCUAUAAACGAACAUUGCCCUAUAUGCAGGGGAUAUCUAAGGACAAAUGGUAAUAUCUGCAACCGCCCAUGGAUAUUUGAAGAACUUCCCUACGGGAAAGGGUAAACCAGCGCCCAGCUGAACUUGAUCGAAACUUGUGAAACUUCUCCGAAAAAUCCUGUCGCAUGCCUGAAAUGCCUGCUGUAAUUUAACCCAGCGUUCUCAAGGUACAUACGAUGCAGAAAUGCAAAGCAGGGCCAAACAUGCUGCAUUCAAUGGGUACGAAGACGGUGUGAGGAACAACAUAACAGCUCUCUUCCUGGUGGCAGCCAUGGAGCACCUAGGGGCUUCAUUAAGUGUCAGAUAUCCCUGACGGCUUCAUACCUGACCACAUAACCAUGGGCUCUGAAGAGGGAAAAAAAAAAGUAACAGGCUACAUCCGGUAGUGGCCCGGGUGGUCAACAAAUGCCAUUUUCCACAUGCAGUCCAGGAGGGAGACGUAUAACUAUACUGUAGAUUUGAUAUUUUUACAAGGCCUUUAGCCACAGUGUGCCCACAGCGCACUGCUCGUAAUUCUGCAGGUAAAUUUCACUCUUUCGCAUCGCUUAGCCCACAGCACCUUAACAACUUGAAGUCAUCAAUCUGAAGUCAUUUUUAGAACAUAGUUGUCCCGGUCUCACUGAAACAAACAGCAGAUUGGACCAGCAUGUCUAUUGGACUCCUGCAGAAAAUCAUGGUGAACAGACAGACAAAUGCACACUGGAGCACAUUAUGUUGCUAGUCACACAGAGGAUAUUUUCAGAGAGGCUGAGUUGUUUUCACCCCCCCAUCUAGUUAUGACAUUCUGAUAAAUCGCAAAAGCAGUAACCUGUGGCGCAGGAUCAAAGCUAAAUUGAAAGAGCGCCAAGACUAAUAUGAAAUUGGUGGAGUAAAUGCAUGUACUGUAAUAAUGUAUGUCAAUAAUUUGUGUAUGUAAGUAGUGUAUAUAAAAUAACCCAGUGCAACUUUUUUUCCCAUAAGAUUCUGUUGCCUUUCUGUGAAUGCAUAUAAAAAAGGUUAAGGUAUGUUGUGUCACUUGA